AGUGAACGCUGGCGGUAGGCCUAACACAUGCAAGUCGAACGGCAGCACAGUAAGAGCUUGCUCUUACGGGUGGCGAGUGGCGGACGGGUGAGGAAUACAUCGGAAUCUACUUUUUCGUGGGGGAUAACGUAGGGAAACUUACGCUAAUACCGCAUACGACCUACGGGUGAAAGCAGGGGAUCUUCGGACCUUGCGCGAUUGAAUGAGCCGAUGUCGGAUUAGCUAGUUGGCGGGGUAAAGGCCCACCAAGGCGACGAUCCGUAGCUGGUCUGAGAGGAUGAUCAGCCACACUGGAACUGAGACACGGUCCAUACUCCUACGGGAAGCAGCAGUGGGGAAUAUUGGACAAUGGGCGCAAGCCUGAUCCAGCCAUACCGCGUGGGUGAAGAAGGCCUUCGGGUUGUAAAGCCCUUUUGUUGGGAAAGAAAAGCAGCAGGUUAAUACCCCGCUGUUCUGACGGUACCCAAAGAAUAAGCACCGGCUAACCUCGUG
RNAcentral lists this ribosomal RNA (492 nucleotides) under uncultured bacterium. RNAcentral describes it as "partial 16S ribosomal RNA". It matches the Rfam family "Bacterial small subunit ribosomal RNA", at positions 29 to 507 of the family's 1533-position model. The record is from RNAcentral.